UACACUCCUGCGGGAGGCAGCAGUGGGGAAUAUUGCACAAUGGGCGCAAGCCUGAUGCAGCGACGCCGCGUGGGGGAUGAAGGCCUUCGGGUUGUAAACUCCUUUCGCUAGGGACGAAGCUUUUUUGUGACGGUACCUAGAUAAGAAGCACCGGCUAACUACGUGCCAGCAGCCGCGGUAAUACGUAGGGUGCGAGCGUUGUCCGGAAUUACUGGGCGUAAAGGGCUCGUAGGUGGUUUGUCGCGUCGUCUGUGAAAUUCUGGGGCUUAACUCCGGGCGUGCAGGCGAUACGGGCAUAACUUGAGUGCUGUAGGGGUAACUGGAAUUCCUGGUGUAGCGGUGAAAUGCGCAGAUAUCAGGAGGAACACCGAUGGCGAAGGCAGGUUACUGGGCAGUUACUGACGCUGAGGAGCGAAAGCAUGGGUAGCGAACAGGAUUAGAUACCCUGGUAGUCCCAUG
This 459-nucleotide ribosomal RNA is filed under the name uncultured organism. RNAcentral describes it as "partial 16S ribosomal RNA". It matches the Rfam family "Bacterial small subunit ribosomal RNA", at positions 332 to 799 of the family's 1533-position model. The record is from RNAcentral.